UGCCUAGAGAUGAGCUCGCGUCUGAUUAGCUAGUUGGUAGUGUAAGAGACUACCAAGGCGACGAUCAGUAGCUGGUCUGAGAGGAUGAUCAGCCACACUGGGACUGAGACACGGCCCAGACUCCUACGGGAGGCAGCAGUGGGGAAUUUUCCGCAAUGGGCGAAAGCCUGACGGAGCAAUACCGCGUGAGGGAGGAAGGCUCUUGGGUUGUAAACCUCUUUUCUCAGGGAAUAAGAAAGUGAAGGUACUUGAGGAAUAAGCAUCGGCUAACUCCGUGCCAGCAGCCGCGGUAAUACGGAGGAUGCAAGCGUUAUCCGGAAUGAUUGGGCGUAAAGCGUCCGCAGGUGGCAUUGUGUGUCUGCUGUUAAAGAGUGAGGCUUAACCUCAUAAAAGCAGUGGAAACUACAAAGCUAGAGUGCGUUCGGGGCAGAAAGGAAUUCCUGGGUGUAGCGGUGAAAUGCGUAUAGAUCAGAAGAACACCGGUGGCGAAAGCGUUCUGCUAGGCCGCAACUGACACUGAGGGACGAAAGCUAGGGGAGCGAAUGGGAUUAGAUACC
Molecule: ribosomal RNA, 557 nt
Filed under: Nostoc sp. LCRSM-8b
Lineage: Bacteria; Bacillati; Cyanobacteriota; Cyanophyceae; Nostocales; Nostocaceae
Description: bacterial SSU rRNA
Rfam family: Bacterial small subunit ribosomal RNA
Source: RNAcentral